CUCCUGACAUGGGGCUGCAGCCAGGUGGGGUUGGGCUCCUGGGAUUCCCAUGCGCGUGGACGGUGGGUCAGAUGCUGUAGCCGCCAUCUGAAGCCGACGUGUGAAACUUCAGCUUCUUAGCAAGGGAGGAGUUGGAGGCUUGCGCGUUUAGAGUGCAGGUGGGGCAGCUGAGGCUCUAUGAGGACGACCAGCGGACGAAGGUGGUUGAGAUCGUCCGUCACCCCCAGUACAACGAGAGCCUGUCUGCCCAGGGCGGUGCGGACAUCGCCCUGCUGAAGCUGGAGGCCCCGGUGCCGCUGUCUGAGCUCAUCCACCCGGUCUCGCUCCCGUCUGCCUCCCGGGACGUGCCCUCGGGGAAGACCUGCUGGGUGACCGGCUGGGGUGUCAUUGGACGUGGAGAACUACUGCCCUGGCCCCUCAGCUUGUGGGAGGCGACGGUGAAGGUCAGGAGCAACGUCCUCUGUAACCAGACCUGUCGCCGCCGCUUUCCUUCCAACCACACUGAGCGGUUUGAGCGGCUCAUCAAGGACGACAUGCUGUGUGCCGGGGACGGGAACCACGGCUCCUGGCCAGGCGACAACGGGGGCCCCCUCCUGUGCAGGCGGAAUUGCACCUGGGUCCAGGUGGAGGUGGUGAGCUGGGGCAAACUCUGCGGCCUUCGCGGCUAUCCCGGCAUGUACACCCGCGUGACGAGCUACGUGUCCUGGAUCCGCCAGUACGUCCCGCCGUUCCCCAGACGCUAGCUGGGGUGCAGUGGGGUCUGCAUGAUCCAGGAGGGCCCGUCUUCCUUGUGGACACCCCUGCUGCUCCCCCGUCUCAGCCUCACCCUCCCGCAGAUCCCUGCCCCGAGACCCUUCUGCUCCUCUCGGUCUCUCAAGGCUCUGUGUUUCCCUGCCAGCAGGGGGCUCGGGGAGCCGGGUAGGGGCCCUCAAAGAUGAGUCGGGAGUGGAAACAGAAUCCCAGAAAUCCUAGACGGCUGCUUGUGACUUGACUCCAUUAAACAGUGUGGAAACCGC
Long non-coding RNA from Homo sapiens (human), 1016 nucleotides. The record is from Ensembl. NCBI's taxonomy places the organism in Eukaryota, Metazoa, Chordata, Mammalia, Primates, Hominidae.